Molecule: ribosomal RNA, 497 nt
Filed under: uncultured bacterium
Lineage: Bacteria
Description: partial 16S ribosomal RNA
Rfam family: Bacterial small subunit ribosomal RNA
Source: RNAcentral
GAUGAACGCUGGCGGCGUGCCUAAUACAUGCAAGUCGAGCGAACGGACGAGAAGCUUGCUUCUCUGAUGUUAGCGGCGGACGGGUGAGUAACACGUGGAUAACCUACCUAUAAGACUGGGAUAACUUCGGGAAACCGGAGCUAAUACCGGAUAAUAUUUUGAACCGCAUGGUUCAAAAGUGAAAGACGGUCUUGCUGUCACUUAUAGAUGGAUCCGCGCUGCAUUAGCUAGUUGGUAAGGUAACGGCUUACCAAGGCAACGAUGCAUAGCCGACCUGAGAGGGUGAUCGGCUACACUGGAACUGGGACACGGUCCAGACUCCUACGGGAGGCAGCAGUAGGGAAUCUUCCGCAAAGGGCGAAAGCCUGACGGAGCAACGCCGCGUGAGUGAUGAAGGUCUUCGGAUCGUAAAACUCUGUUAUUAGGGAAGAACAUAUGUGUAAGUAACUGUGCACAUCUUGACGGUACCUAAUCAGAAAGCCACGGCUAACUACGUG